Molecule: long non-coding RNA, 940 nt
Organism: Meleagris gallopavo (turkey)
Lineage: Eukaryota; Metazoa; Chordata; Aves; Galliformes; Phasianidae
Source: Ensembl
AGGGCGUGGCGGUGUCGCCACGUGGGCUGAAGCUGCUGCCCUGCGCGGGGCCGGUCCGUCGGUCCGUGCUCUCGUUCUGAUGGCGGUUUGUCGUUCCGAGCUCAUCUGUGGGUGUUUAACCCGCUGGCUGUGCAGGAGUGAUUUUUCUCAGGACUCGCACCGUGGCGUGGAGCGCCAGCAGCAGAGGGGCUCUGGCGGUCUCUGUCCGUGCCCGGUCGGCUGCUCCUCUCCCUUCUCUGCUCAUCUUAGGGUUUCUUUAACGGCUCUGUUUGUGGUCACAUCCCUGUGCUGCUCUUCUCAGCGCGGGUGUGCGCUUUCCUUUGAUUUGAGCUUGUUUUCUGGUCUCCAUCAGCUCUGCAGGCACCUCGUGUCGGUGCGCGCUGUGUCUGCUGGGACGUCGAUCCGCAGGGAGGGGAGCACAAAAAAUCCGCGUCCCGUUAAGCGGGGCAGAGCAGCAGCAGCAGCUGAAGGCUCUGAAGUUCACAGGCUGCUGUCUGCACGUGGAGGUGUUGCGUUGUUUCACCACGUGGCCUCGGUUCUGCAGUCUACAGGAAGAAGAGGUUUCAGAGCAUUCAGCAUCUCCCCUGUGAGCCCCUUGUAUGUGGUACCUGAGCAGCAACGUGCCCACGUGUGCCUGGAGCUGCCCUGUACCUGCAGCGUGCUGCCUGCACUGCUGUCACUUGGUUUCCCAUUUAGAGCUGCAAGACGUGGUGCAGAGCAGCAGAAGUGUGUGGUUACCUUCAAGAUUGCAUUCAGAGGACCGAGGGGAUCUGUCCUGUGCUGGCACAUCACACCCUGCCCUGUCCUGACUUCCUUACUGGCAGUGAGAUGCCAACAGCCAUGCUGGGUGCUCUGUGUCAGUGUGUUUUAUUAUUUUAGGACCAUCAUUUCUCUGGUGUGUCUUGCUAGGCUAUGUGUUUCUGUAUCGUCUGACUUGUAA